GAGUUUGAUCCUGGCUCAGGAUGAACGCUGGCGGCGUGCUUAACACAUGCAAGUCGAACGAAACACCUUAUUUGAUUUUCUUCGGAACUGAAGAUUUGGUGAUUGAGUGGCGGACGGGUGAGUAACGCGUGGGUAACCUGCCCUGUACAGGGGGAUAACAGUCAGAAAUGACUGCUAAUACCGCAUAAGACCACAGCACCGCAUGGUGCAGGGGUAAAAACUCCGGUGGUACAGGAUGGACCCGCGUCUGAUUAGCUGGUUGGUGAGGUAACGGCUCACCAAGGCGACGAUCAGUAGCCGGCUUGAGAGAGUGAACGGCCACAUUGGGACUGAGACACGGCCCAAACUCCUACGGGAGGCAGCAGUGGGGAAUAUUGCACAAUGGGGGAAACCCUGAUGCAGCGACGCCGCGUGAAGGAAGAAGUAUCUCGGUAUGUAAACUUCUAUCAGCAGGGAAGAUAGUGACGGUACCUGACUAGGAAGCCCCGGCUAACUACGUGCCAGCCGCCGCGGUAAUUC
Molecule: ribosomal RNA, 519 nt
Filed under: uncultured bacterium
Lineage: Bacteria
Description: bacterial SSU rRNA
Rfam family: Bacterial small subunit ribosomal RNA
Source: RNAcentral